This is a long non-coding RNA of Gasterosteus aculeatus aculeatus (three-spined stickleback), 2071 nucleotides long. The record is from Ensembl. Lineage: Eukaryota; Metazoa; Chordata; Actinopteri; Perciformes; Gasterosteidae.
UAAAGACAGUCACAACCAGAACCUAUAUUAACAAAAAAAGUUAUUGAAAUUGUCCUGUAUGAAGACAGCCUAAUCAAAUUCCCCAAGACUGAUUUUUUUUUUUUAUGAAUGGCAAAGCAUAAAUAGCCCCUGUUUUGGUUUAUAAAGCAUACAGUUGAUAAUCCAUGGAGAUUCCUCUAAAGCCGGGCUCCAUAUUCACAUGAGAUCACAUAAAUGUUUAAACAGUCUCGGCCAGCCGUCCUCUUCCCCCUCUCUCUCUCUCUCUCUGUGUGUCUGUCCCUCCGUCCGUCCACUCCCUGAAAAAAAGAAAAACGUGCUCCUCCUCUGAUCCACUCUUCCGCUCGAUUAAUUCACAAAGUCACCGGCGGCAGCUCCUCUCCAUCUAUCCUCUCCUCCGUUUGGCUGCCUCCUCUUCUCUUGACUUGCCUCCUCCCUCCCUAUCGUUCUCUCUCCCUCUCACAGCAGAUGGUGAAAUGGCAGUGCUGGCAGGAUGGACAAUGGCACUCCUUCAUUGUGCUCCUCUUCUCCCCUCACGUCUCUCUCGCUCUCCCUCAUGUCCACUUUCCGUUCACCUCUGUCUGUUCGAGGGGCGGGCACGCUGUCUGCCCUCCCCUCCUUCCCGUCUGGGUGGGAGAUGCUGCCUCCCAGUUUCUCUCUUACCGUCUCUCGCUCUCACCCUCUCUCUCUCUCAGCCUCUGCCCUCCCCACCUCCUAUCUACCUCCUUCCUGACAGUUCAUCGCCAGGCGAACACAAACAAGCGGGUGAAUCUGCGGCGGCGACGGUGCUGACGUUUCAGCGCAUCUGAUGCGAAAGCAGCGUAACGGAAAGGAGGAGGAAACCACCCGUAGAGCGACACGGGAACACGGCAGAGUAGAUAUAAAGAGAGUCCUCAGCUGACACCCCGACGCGCAGUCACUGCAGUACUCGGUUUGACCACCGCGGCGUCGCACGCAGGGCUGCGUGUUAAGGACAAAAAUGAGAGAACUGCAGAGAGCGAAGACAACCCCCUCCAACACUGGAGCUCAUCACACACUGGGGCUUGUAUUUUUAGAAAAAUAAUCUGCGGAUUAUUAUGUACAUCCUAAUAAAACUGAAUAGUAAUUACACCUUGCAGAUGAUACACAUCGCUUUCUUUUUUUUUUUCAUGCAAUAAAAUUCAGCAGCACCAGAAACAGAAGUUUAAUCAAAAGGCCAUUCCACAAAUUCCAUCAGAAAACUGAACAUCUGAUAAUUUAUUAUAAACACAUGUAUUCAUUGGAAGACCGAGUGUAACUGUAACUCACGCAAACCAUAAAACAUUUAAAUACACGCAGCAGCGGCACGAUCGUACACGGCGACUUCAGUUUUCAUUUUCACAUUAUUGCAGCACACUGGACAUAUUUUUCUUUUAGGCCGCUGCAGGGGGAAAACGUCAAAUUAAAUAUGGUCUGUUUUCUGAAAUCAUCUACAGGGAUGAACAAAUAUAAUGUAUCAAACUGUAUGUUACCUUGACUACAUGCUGGGCUUUGUUCAUAAACCGAUGAAUAACAUUACGGUUUUCUGCCGUUGCUGAGAAACCAAUCUUUAUGAGUCACACCGAGCUCCAUCUUUUCAUCACCAACUACACAAUUCAAUAAAGUUGAAUUCAGAUUAAUUGAAUGACAGGUAUGUAGGACACGUCCUCCGGCAGGGUUUAUUCUUGAUAUAGUGAAAAUGAAUAACUCUUAAAACUGCGGUCACCUUUAUCUCUAAAAAAAUAUUUUAGAGCAUUUCUGCAGUAAUCUCCUAGACCUGAAUGCACAUGUCAUAACGCACUAUUAAAACCAACUCAUUUACAUUUUACACAUGAGUUAUGAGCCCUCUGCCACUGUGCUUUAGAUAAGCACGUUGCAUCAUUUGAAUGUCUUACCGUAUAAUCCAUCGUCCAAAACACAAGCUUCCUGUGAGUCUGUAAACACACCAGACUGCACGUCAGCACACUGCACAUACAAAGACCGCAGGCCCCUCAGCAGAUCCUUGACUCCCAGCAUGCUUUGCUCCAGCCGUGCAUUAGCUCAACGCGACCACCUGUAUACAUAAACAACCCCGUUG